GCGGAAGUAGUUCAGCGGUAGAACACCACCUUGCCAAGGUGGGGGUCGCGGGUUCGAACCCCGUCUUCCGCUCCA
Molecule: transfer RNA, 75 nt
Filed under: Geobacillus stearothermophilus
Lineage: Bacteria; Bacillati; Bacillota; Bacilli; Caryophanales; Anoxybacillaceae
Also listed under: 21 other names
Description: tRNA-Gly(gcc)
Rfam family: tRNA
About the family: Transfer RNA (tRNA) molecules are approximately 80 nucleotides in length. Their secondary structure includes four short double-helical elements and three loops (D, anti-codon, and T loops). Further hydrogen bonds mediate the characteristic L-shaped molecular structure. tRNAs have two regions of fundamental functional importance: the anti-codon, which is responsible for specific mRNA codon recognition, and the 3' end, to which the tRNAs corresponding amino acid is attached (by aminoacyl-tRNA synthetases). tRNAs cope with the degeneracy of the genetic code in two manners: having more than one tRNA (with a specific anti-codon) for a particular amino acid; and 'wobble' base-pairing, i.e. permitting non-standard base-pairing at the 3rd anti-codon position.
Source: RNAcentral